This 465-nucleotide ribosomal RNA is filed under the name uncultured bacterium. RNAcentral's name for it is "partial 16S ribosomal RNA". It matches the Rfam family "Bacterial small subunit ribosomal RNA", at positions 338 to 795 of the family's 1533-position model. The record is from RNAcentral.
CCUACGGGAGGCAGCAGUAGGGAAUUUUUCACAAUGGGCGAAAGCCUGAUGGAGCAAUGCCGCGUGAAUGAUGAAGGUCUUAUAGAUUGUAAAAUUCUUUUAUUUGGGAAGAAAAACUAAAGUAGGUAAUGACUUUAGUCUGACUGUACCAUUUGAAUAAGUCUCGGCUAACUAUGUGCCAGCAGCCGCGGUAAUACAUAGGAUGCAAGCGUUAUCCGGAUUUACGGGGCGAAAAACGAGCGCAGGCGGGUUAACAAGUUUGGUAUGAAUGGCUUUUGCUUAACGAAAGUUUGUAUCAAAAACUGGUAAGCUAGAGUGUAGUAGAGAGGGCUGGAAUUCCAGGUGGAGCGGUGGAAUGCGUAGAUAUAUGGAAGAACACCAGUGGCGAAGGCGAGAACUUAGGCUAUCACUGACGCUUAGGCUCGAAAGUGUGGGGAGCAAAUAGGAUUAGAUACCCUGGUAGUC